RNAcentral lists this ribosomal RNA (301 nucleotides) under uncultured bacterium. RNAcentral's name for it is "partial 16S ribosomal RNA". It matches the Rfam family "Bacterial small subunit ribosomal RNA", at positions 509 to 807 of the family's 1533-position model. The record is from RNAcentral.
CAGUCGCCGCGGUAACACGAAGGGUGCAAGCGUUGCUCGGAAUCACUGGGCGUAAAGGGUGCGUAGGCGGGUUUCUAAGUCAGGGGUGAAAUCCUGGAGCUCAACUCCAGAACUGCCCUUGAUACUGGAAGUCUUGAGUAUGGGAGAGGUGAGUGGAACUGCGAGUGUAGAGGUGAAAUUCGUAGAUAUUCGCAAGAACACCAGUGGCGAAGGCGGCUCACUGGCCCAUAACUGACGCUGAGGCACGAAAGCGUGGGGAGCAAACAGGAUUAGAUACCCGCGUAGUCCCUGUCUCUUAUAC